CAGACCCAAAGCUGACAGACAACAAAGGUUAGUUUUUGUUAUGAAUUAACAUCAUGGUGUGAAGUUCGUUGAACAUUUGUGUAUACUGAAGUGUUUUGGGAUGCAAAAGAUUUGAAGAUCGAUGUUUUUUGGUUUCAGAAACUGACAGCCUGGGAUAUCGAUGGUACCCACGGGUCUGGAGCAGACAGAAUUUACACACUGCACAAACCACAGGUAGAACAGUUAAGACUGGUCAAGCAGGCCCAAGUCAGGGAGAAGUUAAAGAAACUAGCAACAAGGGGUCUACUCAGAUUAUACAAGGAUUGGAGAAAACAAAUCAGGCUGAUCAAACAGAGCAGAAAGAGGGAAAAAUUAAAGAAACUGUCAGUGUAGGUUCUUCCUGGUACUCCAGCAUGUGGAGCAGACAGAAUGUACAAGGCACAGAUAGAACAGUUAAGGCGGAACAAUCAGGCCCAAGUCAGGCAGAUGUUAAAGG
Long non-coding RNA from Liolophura sinensis, 475 nucleotides. RefSeq lists it as uncharacterized. The transcript has 3 exons. Lineage: Eukaryota; Metazoa; Mollusca; Polyplacophora; Chitonida; Chitonidae. The record is from RefSeq and is a predicted model, not a curated record.